AAUUAGAAAACAUAAAAAAUUCUGUUUUUUUCGAAUUUUUUUUUUCUACUCGUCUCAUCGCUCGAGCAACGCUUGCUCUGAGCUCAAGCUUCAAGCCUCCAUAGCAGAAGCUUGAAGCUUUGUUGCUCCCUGUCUCUCUCAAUCUAUCUCUUCGUCCCUCUCUCUCAUCAGUAACUUUUAGGGCUGGGCAUCUGAGCACCGCCCUCGCCGCCUCCUCUCGUCUCUGCGAUUCUGUCAGUUGAAAUCUCGGCGUCACACGCCACCGAACAGGCGCGCACCAUUGGCUCGUCGUGAGCUGGAGUUGCUAAUCUCCGAUCUCUACAAUCGGAUGAAGAAAGCUCUUGCGCAAAUCAAGCAGGGAACACACCCAUUUGCAUGAGUGAGGACAAUGCUAAUGAAAUUAGUGAUGCAAGAGAUUAAAUAGCCGGAGCAAUAUCAUUAGUCUAGAAUUUAUUUAGUAUAGAAUAUUUUAAUUUAAUAUGUAUUAUUUAAGACUUGAAGAUCAAUUGAGUUUGACGAUCAUUAUUUA
Molecule: long non-coding RNA, 529 nt
Organism: Prunus dulcis (almond)
Lineage: Eukaryota; Viridiplantae; Streptophyta; Magnoliopsida; Rosales; Rosaceae
Exons: 2
Source: RefSeq, a predicted model, not a curated record